RNAcentral lists this long non-coding RNA (221 nucleotides) under Elaeis guineensis (African oil palm). RNAcentral's name for it is "long non-coding RNA (EGUI_LNC075746)". Lineage: Eukaryota; Viridiplantae; Streptophyta; Magnoliopsida; Arecales; Arecaceae. The record is from RNAcentral.
CGUUGAACUGUUAUUUUUUACUUGUAUAAUUUUUUUUUAAUUUUUAAUUUUAAAAAUAAAUUUAAAUCAUCAAUAUUAAAAUAAUUAUUAUAUUUUAAAAAAUAUUCUAGAUUAAAACAAUAUUCUUUCAAACUACCAUUGUCUAAUGAUUCCAAUUUUUUAUCACUAAAUACAAAACUAAAUAUAUUUUCAAUAUAUCUGAAACUAUUCUAUUUUUUUUU